RNAcentral lists this ribosomal RNA (933 nucleotides) under Pseudoshiraia conidialis. Its description in RNAcentral is "Shiraiaceae sp. CLH-2021a partial large subunit ribosomal RNA". It matches the Rfam family "Eukaryotic large subunit ribosomal RNA", at positions 31 to 980 of the family's 3401-position model. Lineage: Eukaryota; Fungi; Ascomycota; Dothideomycetes; Pleosporales; Shiraiaceae. The record is from RNAcentral.
GAUCUAAGCAUAUCAAUAAGCGGAGGAAAAGAAACCAACAGGGAUUGCCCUAGUAACGGCGAGUGAAGCGGCAACAGCUCAAAUUUGAAAUCUGGCUCUUUCAGAGUCCGAGUUGUAAUUUGCAGAGGGCGCUUUGGCGUCGGCAGCGGUCCAAGUUCUUUGGAACAGGACGUCACAGAGGGUGAGAAUCCCGUACGUGGUCGCUAGCCUUCGCCGUGUAAAGCCCCUUCGACGAGUCGAGUUGUUUGGGAAUGCAGCUCUAAAUGGGAGGUAAAUUUCUUCUAAAGCUAAAUACUGGCCAGAGACCGAUAGCGCACAAGUAGAGUGAUCGAAAGAUGAAAAGCACUUUGGAAAGAGAGUCAAAUAGCACGUGAAAUUGUUGAAAGGGAAGCGCUUGCAGCCAGACUUACCUGUAGUUGCUUAUCUGGACUUUUGUCCAGUGCACUCUUCUACGGGUAGGCCAGCAUCAGUUUGGGCGGUUGGAUAAAGGUCUCUGUCACGUACCUCCCUUCGGGGUGGCCUUAUAGGGGAGACGUCAUGCAACCAGCCUGGACUGAGGUCCGCGCAUCUGCUAGGAUGCUGGCGUAAUGGCUGUAAGCGGCCCGUCUUGAAACACGGACCAAGGAGUCUAACAUCUAUGCGAGUGUUUGGGUGUCAAGCCCAGACGCGUAAUGAAAGUGAACGGAGGUGGGAACCCUUUGGGUGCACCAUCGACCGAUCCUGAUGUCUUCGGAUGGAUUUGAGUAAGAGCAUGGCUGUUGGGACCCGAAAGAUGGUGAACUAUGCUUGAAUAGGGUGAAGCCAGAGGAAACUCUGGUGGAGGCUCGCAGCGGUUCUGACGUGCAAAUCGAUCGUCAAAUUUGGGCAUAGGGGCGAAAGACUAAUCGAACUAUCUAGUAGCUGGGUUCCUGCCGAAUCCCCCCUCUCAAAGAA